UAACGGUCCACCCGUUAUAAUAUCAUUUUUAGCGCUUUAAUUAUUUUUAAAAUUAUUUUCUUUUGACCUCCCAUUUAAAUUCUUUAAUUUCUCGUAAAGGACUUCUCAUGUGACGUCACACUGUACGGAACAUAGUUGAACCGUUCCUUGUCAUUUAAUUCGUGUUCCGUGAGAGUUUGACGUCUUCCUCGCUGAAUGAGAGAGGAAUGCUCUUUACUUGACUGUGAGCUGUGGUUCGAAUCGGUUAUACCAAUGGCGGGUUGAUAAUUUCAACUAUUUAAAUCAUUUUUGUUAAUUUCCAAGUGAAAAGUUAUCUGGAGCCUGGAGUAUGGAAACAUAUGAGUAACUCAACACCUCAUGGAAUCUGGAUAAGAAUCAACCCGCCAUUUGGGAGAAACCAUAAGAUGAAGUCCUAGCCCCUUCUUUGACCACCUAGGGAAACCACCCCAGCCACAGUCAAGUCAACAUUGGGAGUAAGUCAUUUUUGGGAACAAGCUUUUUGGGAGUAUUCCAGCUCCUUUUCGUCCUGCCACCUGGGCCUACGGAGGGCAUGGGACCGCAUCAUCUUGAUGCUCAUUUCUGAGGAUGCAGCAGCAACCUCUUUAGGAGUCGUUUGGGAACAUUUAGUGUUGUGUUUUAAGUAACUAUGGUUUUUAUAUAUCAGACAUUUAUUUGAUACAUUAUGUUUAUUAAUUAUUUUUUUUCAGAUUUAGCGUACCUUUGUUUUUAUAUGACAUAUUUGUAUACUAUUGUAUUUGGUUCCCAAACUUUGUAUCUACGGUAACUUCUUGUGCACAGGAAUAAGCCUAGAGAAAAUUAGGUUUUUAAUACUUUAUUAUUGCUUUGAUAUUGGUUUAUGUAAUUCGGGUAAAUUUAUUUUGUAAUAUUACUUGCUUGUUUCCCAAAUAUUUUAUUGUUAUUCGCUUUAUUCCAUUUUUUUCGGUUAAUUUAGGUCAUCGUCAGUACUUAUCUCAACUUCAUUUCUAUUUCAUUCAUUGUAUACUUAACUUACUUACUUCAUUAUUGUAUUUUCCCUUAGUGAGGCUUGGGCCUAUUUAUUUGUAGUAUUUUCAUCUUUGUCAGUUUCCUUUAGUUGUACGUAGCAGGCGUACUAUAACCAUUUGGUAGAAGACUCAUGUGAGUUGUACCCUAUAUAUAUGUAAGAGGUAUUUAAGUUUGUAACAGAUAACAUUAUUGUUGUUAUCUUUAAAAUAUAUAUAGCUUCUUGUAUAACUUAUGUCAUUUUAGAGUUACAUGAUAUAUGCUUGUCUAACUCAGAGAUUGUUAAAAAUCUAGUAGUUAUUUUAAUAAAUAUUUAUUUAUUUUGUA
Molecule: long non-coding RNA, 1329 nt
Organism: Diabrotica virgifera virgifera (western corn rootworm)
Lineage: Eukaryota; Metazoa; Arthropoda; Insecta; Coleoptera; Chrysomelidae
Exons: 2
Source: RefSeq, a predicted model, not a curated record